AGUGAACGCUGGCGGUAGGCCUAACACAUGCAAGUCGAACGGCAGCACAGUAAGAGCUUGCUCUUACGGGUGGCGAGUGGCGGACGGGUGAGGAAUACAUCGUAAUCUACUUUUUCGUGGGGGAUAACGUAGGGAAACUUACGCUAAUACCGCAUACGACCUACGGGUGAAAGCAGUGGAUCUUCGGACCUUGCGCGAUUGAAUGAGCCGAUGUCGGAUUAGCUAGUUGGCGGGGUAAAGGCCCACCAAGGCGACGAUCCGUAGCUGGUCUGAGAGGAUGAUAAGCCACACUGGAACUGAGACACGGACAAGACUCCUAAGAGAGGCAGCAGUGGGGAAUAUUAGACAAUGGGCGCAAGCAUGAUCCAGCCAUACCGCGUGGGUGAAGAAGGCCUUCGGGUUGUAAAGACCUUUUGUUGGGAAAGAAAAGCAGCAGGUUAAUACCACGCUGUUGUGACGGUAACAAAAGAAUAAGCACCGGCUAACUUCGUG
Molecule: ribosomal RNA, 492 nt
Filed under: uncultured bacterium
Lineage: Bacteria
Description: partial 16S ribosomal RNA
Rfam family: Bacterial small subunit ribosomal RNA
Source: RNAcentral